UGUGUGUUAGUGGAAGCGUCUGGAAAGGCGCGCGAUACAGGGUGACAGCCCCGUACACAAAAAUGCACAUGCUGUGAGCUCGAUGAGUAGGGCGGGACACGUGGUAUCCUGUCUGAAUAUGGGGGGACCAUCCUCCAAGGCUAAAUACUCCUGACUGACCGAUAGUGAACCAGUACCGUGAGGGAAAGGCGAAAAGAACCCCGGCGAGGGGAGUGAAAAAGAACCUGAAACCGUGUACGUACAAGCAGUGGGAGCACGCUUAGGCGUGUGACUGCGUACCUUUUGUAUAAUGGGUCAGCGACUUAUAUUCUGUAGCAAGGUUAACCGAAUAGGGGAGCCGAAGGGAAACCGAGUCUUAACUGGGCGUUAAGUUGCAGGGUAUAGACCCGAAACCCGGUGAUCUAGCCAUGGGCAGGUUGAAGGUUGGGUAACACUAACUGGAGGACCGAACCGACUAAUGUUGAAAAAUUAGCGGAUGACUUGUGGCUGGGGGUGAAAGGCCAAUCAAACCGGGAGAUAGCUGGUUCUCCCCGAAAGCUAUUUAGGUAGCGCCUCGUGAAUUCAUCUCCGGGGGUAGAGCACUGUUUCGGCAAGGGGGUCAUCCCGACUUACCAACCCGAUGCAAACUGCGAAUACCGGAGAAUGUUAUCACGGGAGACACACGGCGGGUGCUAACGUCCGUCGUGAAGAGGGAAACAACCCAGACCGCCAGCUAAGGUCCCAAAGUCAUGGUUAAGUGGGAAACGAUGUGGGAAGGCCCAGACAGCCAGGAUGUUGGCUUAGAAGCAGCCAUCAUUUAAAGAAAGCGUAAUAGCUCACUGGUCGAGUCGGCCUGCGCGGAAGAUGUAACGGGGCUAAACCAUGCACCGAAGCUGCGGCAGCGACACUAUGUGUUGUUGGGUAGGGGAGCGUUCUGUAAGCCUGUGAAGGUGUGCUGUGAGGCAUGCUGGAGGUAUCAGAAGUGCGAAUGCUGACAUAAGUAACGAUAAAGCGGGUGAAAAGCCCGCUCGCCGGAAGACCAAGGGUUCCUGUCCAACGUUAAUCGGGGCAGGGUGAGUCGACCCCUAAGGCGAGGCCGAAAGGCGUAGUCGAUGGGAAACAGGUUAAUAUUCCUGUACUUGGUGUUACUGCGAAGGG
RNAcentral lists this ribosomal RNA (1137 nucleotides) under Escherichia coli. Its description in RNAcentral is "partial 23S ribosomal RNA". It matches the Rfam family "Bacterial large subunit ribosomal RNA", at positions 323 to 1468 of the family's 2925-position model. The record is from RNAcentral. Lineage: Bacteria; Pseudomonadati; Pseudomonadota; Gammaproteobacteria; Enterobacterales; Enterobacteriaceae.